Molecule: long non-coding RNA, 1284 nt
Organism: Mesocricetus auratus (golden hamster)
Lineage: Eukaryota; Metazoa; Chordata; Mammalia; Rodentia; Cricetidae
Exons: 8
Source: RefSeq, a predicted model, not a curated record
GAUGCCUGCUCCCAGGCCAAAGGGGAAGUGGGUUUCUGCUCAAGGUCUGGUGUCCCCACAAGGAAGGAUCAAACAGUAAUUCAUGACAUGAAUGAUGAAGAGAAGGUAGUGUUUUGCCUGUCCUAGAGCAAGUGUCUACUAGCCAGAAGCCACAACUGGGCACAGCCAUACUAAGAGGAGGUACAGCGGGUGUGCAGAUGAGCAGGAUCCAAGACAGGGCUUUGAUGCGGGAAAAGGUGUGAUCCCUGAGCUGGAAACAUUAGUGCGAGGAAGAGAAAUAGAAGACACAUGCUUUAAACAGACAACUGACAAAGGGAGUUUUACAGCUCGCCAGGAAACUGCUCAGAUACUCUGAUAAAUAUUCAACCCUGGGGAUGAUCUUCUAGCUACAAGAUGAUAUUUCUCAUCUUCAGAUCUUCAGAUAGAGUGGAGGAACUUUGUAAGCAUUACAUGAUGAAGAUACCAAGAGAACCAAAUUAACAUCCCUGAACUCCCAACCUAUGCCAAAACAAAGCCUUAUAUACUGUAUAUUUGAAAGUACCAGAGACUGUUCCUAUCAGAAAAUGAUAAAAUAAAAGGUAACUACUAAGGUAGGCUUCCAGCUGCCUCCCCCUAUAAGGACACACGUGAUGGAAUUUUAGGGUCCGCCCUGACACACCAAGAUCUGCAAUCAGACCUGCAAUGCCCUUUUUGUCAAGCCAAGAUAACCCUUAAUUGGAUCUUCGAAGUCCUUUUUGUCAGUUAACACAGCCAUGAUGCUAUCUGCUAAUUCCACCUGGCUCUAGGUUAUGGGUAUUUUCCUCAGAGCAUCUUCAUUUCUGGAAUUCUUUAACUGCUCUCAGAUCUACCCAUCUGUGUGUUGUUCUUUAGUUAUUUUGCCCAGCUGAAUGCCCAGUGCAGGCCAGGAUAUCUGAUGUGCAACGCCCAGAGGGUCUCUACAGGUUGAGAAUCACUGAUCCAGGGAACUAUCGCUGAGCUUGCAUGAAAGAUGACUGGAGUUCUGUGCGCAUGGCAGGAAGAAGGUAAUGAUGUGACUUUCCACAGAGGAGCUGAGUUUCCAGGAGAAAGAAAAGAGGAAUAACGAGAAAGGAAGAGAAGAUUCUCCUCAGCCUGGUGAUGGAGAGCCAAUGCCCUCCUGCCCCAGGGAAGCUACACAUGUAGGAACUUCCCAGUAGACUUUGAUUUUUAAAAAAAUGUGCAUUGAUGUUUUACCACGGGUGUUGGGUCCCCUGGAACUGGAGUUAUAGACAGCUAUAAACUGUCAUGUGGGUACUGGGAAUUGAA